Molecule: ribosomal RNA, 846 nt
Filed under: Triticum aestivum (bread wheat)
Lineage: Eukaryota; Viridiplantae; Streptophyta; Magnoliopsida; Poales; Poaceae
Description: partial small subunit ribosomal RNA
Source: RNAcentral
AUGUUCUUCUCAUUAUCGCCUCAAGGGGAGGAGUGCGGUUAUGUCGGGGAGGCAAUCAGGGCAGUCUCUAACUACAUGAUAUUCCUCCUUUUUGAACGUCCAUACAUGCUGCCUAGCCCUGUUCGGCCUGGAUUGUAUGCCAAUAUUGAAGCAGCAUAUAUUGGGCGGCUUGAUCUUCCUCGCGUGAAAUGCAUCAGCAGAAGGUGGGAGCUGGACAGAAGAAGAAGAAUGUGGGAUCUGGACACAAGAAGGGAUGGGGCCGAGCUGUACAGAUGGGCACGGGGGAAGUUGGACAUAAUAAGGGAGGAUCUGGACAUAACAAGGGAGGAGCAGUUGGGCGAUAGAUGGCUGGCCGAUAGAUGUAAGGAUCUGGACAGAGAAAGGGAGGAGCUGGAGAAAAGAAGUUCUGAGGCAAGGGAGAACAUGGAGCAGCUGAAGAGAAUAAUGACAGAUGUGGUGUACCUAGACAAAAGAAGCGAGGAGCUGCGUAUGGGGCCUGUUCCUUCACCUGCCUUGGCCCGUGGAGCAGACCUUGCUCUUAGGCUGCUAGAGGUGGAGUUGCAGCGGCCACCGCCGGAGGUGCGGCGGGUGGUACUUGGGGUGUGGGUGGAGAUGUUGUGCUAUGCUGCGCACCACUGCAAUAGGGAUUCCCAUGCCAGGCAGCUCAACAGUGGCGGAGAGUUCAUCACCGUCCUCUGGCUUGUGUCCACUGCCAUGUUCAAUCUCCAGUACUGUGAUGAGCCCUGGUUUAAGAAGGGCAUGUCAGAGUUCUUCACGCCACCGUCAAAGCGCCAGCGCCUGCGUUUUUGGUGCCGGUACUUCAGAAAGAGGUAUAUUUGUAUAUAA